UGCCAGCAGCCGCGGUAAUACGGAGGGGGUUAGCGUUGUUCGGAAUUACUGGGCGUAAAGCGCACGUAGGCGGACUGGAAAGUUGGGGGUGAAAUCCCAGGGCUCAACCCUGGAACUGCCUCCAAAACUAUCAGUCUAGAGUUCGAGAGAGGUGAGUGGAAUUCCGAGUGUAGAGGUGAAAUUCGUAGAUAUCUGGAGGAACACCGGUGGCGAAGGCGACUCACUGGACCGUAUCUGACGCUGAGGUGCGAAAGCUAGGGUAGCAAACAGGAUUAGAUA
This 279-nucleotide ribosomal RNA is filed under the name uncultured bacterium. Its description in RNAcentral is "partial 16S ribosomal RNA". It matches the Rfam family "Bacterial small subunit ribosomal RNA", at positions 506 to 784 of the family's 1533-position model. The record is from RNAcentral.